GUAAGUCAAAAACUUAUGAUCAAGUUUUCUGAUUUUAAAAAUGUGAACAAUGGUAUAGUAAAAAUAUUUCUUUGUGUGCUUGAGUUAAUGAAAGAUGUUAUAGUUGCUUAAAAAUCAUUGAAAAUUAGAAUGUCUAUAAGAUUUUAAGAUACCAUGUUGGUCAUAAAUACGAAUCCCAAAAUAUAUAAAUACUUACAUGAAUUAACCAUAUACAAUAUUUUUUUAAAAAAAAUCAAUUUAUAUGAAGUUAUAUGAAGUUUCAAAUGAAAUAGAAAAAAUACAAAAAAGUUAUAUCAUCCAAUUUAUAAAGUCAGGAGAGGCAACGACAGAAAAAAAAAAUAACAACAAACUAUAUUACUCCUCUUUAGUGUGUUAAUUAUCAAAAUCAAUUUGGUUUUAUUAUACCUAUUUUAUAAUAUCAAAAUAGAUGGUAUAUAGUGUAAAAAUUUAUCGUUUAAAUUUGUUAGAAGAAGCAAAUAAAAAAUAAAAUAAUUGUUUAGUUCAAAUUUAUUAAAAGUACAACUAAUUAAUAUUUAUAUAAAACAAAAAUACAAGCUCAAGCAAACAAAUUAUAUAAUAAUAAAAAAAAAUUAAUAAAUUUAAAAAGUACAAACCGCACGUAGCGCCGUGAAAACAUCUAGUAUUCGUAACUACGUUUGAUUGGCCGCAUGGCUCUACUUCCCAGAAGUUUUCCCCUAAAUUAUAAUCGAAGUGUGGAAGACUUCCCAAUUCAUAAAGUAUUUCCAUAGGUUAAUCAUAUAACCCAAGUGUCGAAUUAAAGUAUGCAACUGUGAAUAACUAGAAAUAUGAAAGAUACUUUUUUUUUUUUUUUUAUUAUGAAAGAUACUUGACUUGUUCAUAACUUCAUAUCACUGAAAACUGAGAUCUCGAACGCGGUAAGACCAGAAUCAAGUCAUUUAAUCUGUCAUUACACGCAUCACAAACGAUAAAAGUUCUUACUACUGGAAAUUUUAUUAAUUCGUCUAUAAAAUUAUAGUGGUAUAUUAUCUUCAUUUUUUGGAAUACCUCUGUUUUUUAAGUAAAUGGAAAUGAACCGAUGCUGAGUUUUGAGUAACCGAAAUAAGACUUCAG
This 1092-nucleotide long non-coding RNA is filed under the name Brassica rapa (field mustard). RNAcentral describes it as "long non-coding RNA (BRAP_LNC006604)". The record is from RNAcentral. Lineage: Eukaryota; Viridiplantae; Streptophyta; Magnoliopsida; Brassicales; Brassicaceae.